RNAcentral lists this ribosomal RNA (99 nucleotides) under uncultured bacterium. Its description in RNAcentral is "partial 16S ribosomal RNA". It matches the Rfam family "Bacterial small subunit ribosomal RNA", at positions 1386 to 1482 of the family's 1533-position model. The record is from RNAcentral.
CACACCGCCCAUCACACCAUGGGAGUUGGUUUUACCCGAAGACGGUGCGCUAACCAGCAAUGGAGGCAGCCGGCCGCGGUAGGGUCAGCGACUGGGGUG